Molecule: RNA transcript, 2253 nt
Organism: Corvus hawaiiensis (hawaiian crow)
Lineage: Eukaryota; Metazoa; Chordata; Aves; Passeriformes; Corvidae
Gene: KHDRBS2
Gene name: KH RNA binding domain containing, signal transduction associated 2
Exons: 17
Source: RefSeq, a predicted model, not a curated record
GCCACCGGCGAGCGGGCGGCCGAGGGCGCGGAGCGGCGAGCCGAGAUCCCGCGCAGCCCGCCCGGCGUGCCCGCGGCGAUGGAGCAGGACAAGUACCUGCCCGAGCUGAUGGCCGAGAAGGACAGCCUGGAUCCCUGCUUUGUUCACGCGAUGCGCCUCCUGGAAGAUGAAAUGGAAAAAUUUCAGGGUUCAGAAGGCAAGAAGGAAGAUGAAGAAAAGAAAUAUCUUGAUGUUAUCAGCAACAAAAACAUAAAGCUGUCGGAGAGAGUUCUGAUCCCUGUCAAACAAUAUCCAAAGUUCAAUUUUGUUGGGAAAUUGCUUGGACCAAGAGGAAACUCUUUAAAGAGAUUACAAGAAGAAACAGGUGCAAAAAUGUCCAUCCUGGGAAAAGGAUCCAUGAGGGAUAAAGCUAAGGAGGAAGAACUAAGGAAAAGUGGAGAAGCCAAAUACGCGCACUUGAGUGAUGAGCUCCACGUAUUAAUUGAAGUGUUUGCUCCACCUGGGGAGGCGUAUUCUCGUAUGAGUCAUGCCUUGGAAGAAAUAAAAAAAUUCCUGGUUCCUGAUUAUAAUGAUGAAAUUCGCCAGGAGCAGCUGAGAGAACUUUCAUAUUUGAAUGGUUCUGAGGAUUCAUCACGUGGACGGGGCAUUCGAGGAAGAGGGAUCCGUGUGCCACCUGCAGCUCCUUCAAGGGGCCGUGGGGGUGCCAUUCCUCCCCCGCUGCCUGGACGAGGUGCCCAGGCGCCCCGAGGAGCGCCGGUGACGCGUGGAGCGCUCCCUGUCCCACCGGUGGCCAGGGGCGUUCCCACCCCUCGAGCCAGGGGCGCCCCGUCCGUCCCGGGCUACAGACCACCCCCGCCGCCCGCACACGAGGCCUACGAAGACUAUGGAUACGAUGAUGGAUAUGGAGGUGAAUAUGAUGAUCCAAGCUAUGAGGCAUAUGAUAACAGUUAUGCCACACAAACACAAAGUGUGCCUGAAUAUUAUGACUAUGGUCACGGAACAAGCGAAGAGGCUUAUGACAGCUACGCACAAGAAGAAUGGGCUACAACCCGUUCCAGCCUAAAGGCACCACCUCCAAGGUCAGCCAGAGGGGGUUACAGGGAACACCCCUAUGGUAGAUAUUGAAGGUCCUCCUCAUCUGUGACCUCAUCUCAAAGACAAUUAAUAGCCUGUGGUCUCCACAUAAACAGCAACAAGACAAGGACUCACAGGCAUUGGACAGCUAAGCAGCAGAUCUGCUGGGAAGUGGUCAGAUUUUUGGAGCCUUAGGGAAGUACUGUACCUUUUGAAUGGUAUUCAGGGAAUUGAGAGUGCUCAACAUCAUUUGCAAUAAAUCACUGGCUUCUGAAGGACUGAACCUCAGGUUAGGACUCUCCACAGCCCUGAGUUCUGGACCUACCAUUACCACCCUCUCUAGGAUAUGCCACCACUCAGACUUACAGUGAUCUUCCAGUCUAUCAGCUGCAUAUAUAUGUGUAUAUACUCAGUUCAGGUUCAAAGGACUAUUUAACCCAUUUUCAGAUUUUUGAGACAGCCAGCUGGUACUAGUGAAAGCUGAAGUACUGAAAAUACACGUAUCACAGAAAUGUUUCACUAUUAGCUGGAAUUGCUGCUGAAGUGAGCCUCCUUUAUUUUUGUAAAAGCAUCCCUAAUGACUGAUGUUGCUGUAGUUACGCACUAUAAUGAUGGUGUACAGAACAGGUACAGAGUACUUCAUUAUGUGCACGAACAGAAAUGCUUAAAUGGAUGAAGCAGCUAUUUACGUCUGAUAGGAGCUAAGUGGGACAUUAAAUUAAUGCCAAACAAAAAAUCAUUCAGCUCAUCCCAGUAUCUGUGGAUUCAGCUGGCAGAAUGAGAGUCCCGUGGACACAAAACAUAAAAUCAAUGACGCUGAAGUUUAUGUAGGCUUAAUAUUGGGAUGAAAAAUGAAGGUGCCUGGUCCUGCUGUCAAUAAAAUAUAUUUGUGUCGUUCUCCAUGCAGCACUUUGAACAGGGUUAGUGAGACUUUAAUCAAGAAAAAAGAUCUAAUGAACAGUAAUUUGAAACACAGCAUUUGGAAAGGUCAGAAUGGUACAUUACAUCCUUAUUAUCCAAAAGAACAGAUGAGUUUAAUAUCCUGGCAGCAUUUUCCUGUGAAGAAGAUAUUAAACAAGAACUGAAAAUGGCACAAGGUUCUCUCUUCCUUUUCUAUGACAAAGAUUGUAACAAGAUGAUGAAACUAUACAGAAUAAAUCCCAUUCUGCUUUAAUGGUC